Molecule: ribosomal RNA, 253 nt
Filed under: uncultured bacterium
Lineage: Bacteria
Description: partial 16S ribosomal RNA
Rfam family: Bacterial small subunit ribosomal RNA
Source: RNAcentral
UACGGGGGGGGCAAGCGUUGUUCGGAAUUACUGGGCGUAAAGGGCUCGUAGGUGGCCAACUAAGUCAGACGUGAAAUCCCUCGGCUUAACCGGGGAACUGCGUCUGAUACUGGAUGGCUUGAGUUUGGGAGAGGGAUGCGGAAUUCCAGGUGUAGCGGUGAAAUGCGUAGAUAUCGUAAGGAAGACCAGUGGCGAAGGCGGGUCUCUGGACAGUUCCUGACGCUGAGGCACGAAGGCCAGGGGAGCAAACGGG